UGCAUUAUAGCCUUUUACCUUUUAAAAAAUGAAGUGAGUCAGAUUUUGGAGUUUGGUCUCAUUUCCUCUGUUUUAUAAGUCGCUGUGAACAUACAAUAGCAUCAUCAGAAUCAAGAAUGAAAGGAAAUGUUGCUUUAUAAAGUGGCAGACCUCGUGACUGAUAUAAAAAUUAGUUUCACUUCAUGAACACUUUGUGAUUGCAAUGUCAGCAUUUUUGUAAUCUGUGUGGCAUCUUGGUUCAUGAUUCUAAUAAUCUUGUUUAAUUUCUCAAAAAAAAACAAAACAACAACUAUUCACACUUAUCAUGCAAUGCUAAAAUGUUACUAUUUGUGUUAUGGUACAGUAUUGUUAUUUUUAAGAAAGUUUACAAAUAUUUAGCACACUGCAUAGUGGAAAGUACAAAAUUACAAAUUGUGUAUGAUUUAACUCACGGAGGAACUGGGCAUCAGUUGUUCUUUCACUUUCUGUGCUGUGUUGUUGAUAACUCAGCAUAUAAUGCCAACAAGUCACAUGCAUUCAAGGCUAUGGCUUUAUUUUAAUGGGGGGAGGGUUAUGUGGAGUGUGGUUCGGGUGGGAAGCGUGUAAUCUGCAAUCGCUGACACGAUAGCUUUUUUUGCGCAGUUUUUUUUUUUUUUUCGCUUUCACUUUCGAAAUCGAUCACGUUCAGUAGGAGGAGAGAGGAGGGGAAGGGAUGCAAGGCCCUCAUUUGGGGGGCAUUAACAUAUAAUGAUCCAUUAAUAUAGAUAGAUGCAGGGCAACAAAAUAAUUCAACUCAAAGUUCACAUUUAUAAACGAUAUUCUUUUUGAAUGCAUAACAACAUACAGAUUUAUAUAAGUCACAAAGUUUGUGGACACUGGACUAGAAAAUGAAUCAGAUAAACAUGAACCUAUAUUUAAAAAGUUUUUUUUUCUCUCUCUCUCUCAUAGUACAAGUAAGUCUGUGUUCCUUUAUUCGUCAGUGUGGGAAGCGUGUUUGCAUCCCUUUGUGUGUAAUCAUGUCCACCUUUGGAUCAGCAAGCAGAUUUUCCACAGCAGUCACAAAUUCCCACAUAGAUAAUUGGCAAGACGAUGAAGACACAGCUCACACCAUAACCAUAUAUCUGCAGGAAAAAAUAAAAUGAUAUUGAUUGAGG
RNAcentral lists this long non-coding RNA (1133 nucleotides) under Sinocyclocheilus anshuiensis. RNAcentral's name for it is "lncRNA (ENSSANG00000048372.1)". The record is from RNAcentral. Lineage: Eukaryota; Metazoa; Chordata; Actinopteri; Cypriniformes; Cyprinidae.